GGUGCUGUCGUCUAGUGGUUAAGACGCCCGCCGAUUACACCAGCUUGUUAAAGCGGGUAACUGGGGUUCGAAUCCCCACGGCACCA
RNAcentral lists this transfer RNA (86 nucleotides) under Zhongshania aquimaris. RNAcentral's name for it is "tRNA-OTHER". It matches the Rfam family "tRNA". From Rfam's summary of the family: Transfer RNA (tRNA) molecules are approximately 80 nucleotides in length. Their secondary structure includes four short double-helical elements and three loops (D, anti-codon, and T loops). Further hydrogen bonds mediate the characteristic L-shaped molecular structure. tRNAs have two regions of fundamental functional importance: the anti-codon, which is responsible for specific mRNA codon recognition, and the 3' end, to which the tRNAs corresponding amino acid is attached (by aminoacyl-tRNA synthetases). tRNAs cope with the degeneracy of the genetic code in two manners: having more than one tRNA (with a specific anti-codon) for a particular amino acid; and 'wobble' base-pairing, i.e. permitting non-standard base-pairing at the 3rd anti-codon position. Lineage: Bacteria; Pseudomonadati; Pseudomonadota; Gammaproteobacteria; Cellvibrionales; Spongiibacteraceae. The record is from RNAcentral.